GAUGAACGCUGGCGGCGUGCCUAAUACAUGCAAGUCGAGCGAACGGACGAGAAGCUUGCUUCUCUGAUGUUAGCGGCGGACGGGUGAGUAACACGUGGAUAACCUACCUAUAAGACUGGGAUAACUUCGGGAAACCGGAGCUAAUACCGGAUAAUAUUUUGAACCGCAUGGUUCAAAAGUGAAAGACGGUCUUGCGGUCACUUAUAGAUGGAUCCGCGCUGCAUUAGCUAGUUGGUAAGGUAACGGCUUACCAAGGCAACGAUGCAUAGCCGACCUGAGAGGGUGAUCGGCCACACUGGAACUGAGACACGCUCCAGACUCCUACGGGAGGCCGCAGUAGGGAAUCUUCCGCAAUGGGCGAAAGCCUGACGGAGCAACGCCGCGUGAGUGAUGAAGGUCUUCGGUUCGUAAAACUCUGUUAUUAGGGAAGAACAUAUGUGUCAGUAACUGAGCACAUCUUGACGGUACCUAAUCAGAAAGCCACGGCUAACUACGUG
Molecule: ribosomal RNA, 497 nt
Filed under: uncultured bacterium
Lineage: Bacteria
Description: partial 16S ribosomal RNA
Rfam family: Bacterial small subunit ribosomal RNA
Source: RNAcentral